RNAcentral lists this microRNA (23 nucleotides) under Gallus gallus (chicken). RNAcentral's name for it is "gga-miR-6590-5p". The record is from miRBase by way of RNAcentral. Lineage: Eukaryota; Metazoa; Chordata; Aves; Galliformes; Phasianidae.
UGGGAUCAGGUGCUGAAAUAAGA